This 473-nucleotide ribosomal RNA is filed under the name uncultured organism. RNAcentral describes it as "partial 16S ribosomal RNA". It matches the Rfam family "Bacterial small subunit ribosomal RNA", at positions 335 to 799 of the family's 1533-position model. The record is from RNAcentral.
ACUCCUGCGGGAGGCAGCAGUGGGGAAUUUUGGACAAUGGGCGAAAGCCUGAUCCAGCCAUGCCGCGUGCAGGAUGAAGGCCUUCGGGUUGUAAACUGCUUUUGUACGGAACGAAACGGCCUUUUCUAAUAAAGAGGGCUAAUGACGGUACCGUAAGAAUAAGCACCGGCUAACUACGUGCCAGCAGCCGCGGUAAUACGUAGGGUGCAAGCGUUAAUCGGAAUUACUGGGCGUAAAGCGUGCGCAGGCGGUUAUGUAAGACAGUUGUGAAAUCCCCGGGCUCAACCUGGGAACUGCAUCUGUGACUGCAUAGCUAGAGUACGGUAGAGGGGGAUGGAAUUCCGCGUGUAGCAGUGAAAUGCGUAGAUAUGCGGAGGAACACCGAUGGCGAAGGCAAUCCCCUGGACCUGUACUGACGCUCAUGCACGAAAGCGUGGGGAGCAAACAGGAUUAGAUACCCGGGUAGUCCCAUG